Molecule: ribosomal RNA, 519 nt
Filed under: Triticum aestivum (bread wheat)
Lineage: Eukaryota; Viridiplantae; Streptophyta; Magnoliopsida; Poales; Poaceae
Description: partial small subunit ribosomal RNA
Source: RNAcentral
AUGGCCGGGUCCGAUCUGCGGCAAGCAAGUGCAGCCGCGGCUAGUGCGGCGGCGGCGAACGACGGUGCGGGAGGGACCACGGGCGUUGGCUCAGAGGGGAGCGAGCUCUAUGGUGAUGGACGCGAGCUCCCGGGCACGGCCGGCAGGAGGAGGGACGGGGCCGCCACGGGGAUCAGGAUGUCGACAGCAGCAGCCGUCGUCGACGGAGCGGGGCAGCCACCAGCUGCCGCGGGCUUCGGUGACGUGAGCGCUUCGAGCUCGCAUGGAGGCAUCACCAACACCGCCAUGGGCACGGCACGAAGCUGGGUGGGCAGGUCCAUCGUCGUCGUCGGCGGCGGCGGAAGCAGGAGGUCCCGAUCCAGAUCUGACCGGGAAAACGAUAGAGAUGGCGGCGGGACGACAACCGGUUUGAAACCCACAGGCAACGAGGGUGGAGGCGGCGGCAGCAUGGCGGCUGGGCUGCGAGCCAGCGGUGGGGUGGCCGACGAGGCCGGAGUGGCCGUCGCCAGCGCGCGCUAG